UACAGAGGGGGCGGGCGUUGUUCGGAAUUACUGGGCGUAAAGGGCGCGUAGGCGGCCUGUUAAGUCGAACGUGAAAUCCCCGGGCUCAACCCGGGAACUGCGUCCGAUACUGGCAGGCUUGAAUCCGGGAGAGGGAUGUGGAAUUCCAGGUGUAGCGGUGAAAUGCGUAGAUAUCUGGAGGAACACUGGUGGCGAAGGCGGCAUCCUGGACCGGCAUUGACGCUGAGGCGCGAAAGCGUGGGGAGCAAACAGG
RNAcentral lists this unclassified non-coding RNA (253 nucleotides) under uncultured Acidobacteriota bacterium. Its description in RNAcentral is "uncultured Acidobacteria bacterium contains 16S-23S intergenic spacer region". It matches the Rfam family "Bacterial small subunit ribosomal RNA", at positions 524 to 776 of the family's 1533-position model. Lineage: Bacteria; Pseudomonadati; Acidobacteriota. The record is from RNAcentral.